GACGAACGCUGGCGGCGUGCUUAACACAUGCAAGUCGAACGGAAAGGCCCUGCUUUUGUGGGGUGCUCGAGUGGCGAACGGGUGAGUAACACGUGAGUAACCUGCCCUUGACUUUGGGAUAACUUCAGGAAACUGGGGCUAAUACCGGAUAGGAGCUCCUGCUGCAUGGUGGGGGUUGGAAAGUUUCGGCGGUUGGGGAUGGACUCGCGGCUUAUCAACUUGUUGGUGGGGUAGUGGCUUACCAAGGCUUUGACGGGUAGCCGGCCUGAGAGGGUGACCGGCCACAUUGGGACUGAGAUACGGCCCAGACUCCUACGGGAGGCAGCAGUGGGGAAUAUUGCACAAUGGGCGGAAGCCUGAUGCAGCAACGCCGCGUGCGGGAUGACGGCCUUCGGGUUGUAAACCGCUUUCGCCUGUGACGAAGCGUGAGUGACGGUAAUGGGUAAAGAAGCACCGGCUAACUACGUGCCAGCAGCCGCGGUGAUACGUAGGGUGCGAGCGUUGUCCGGAUUUAUUGGGCGUAAAGGGCUCGUAGGUGGUUGAUCGCGUCGGAAGUGUAAUCUUGGGGCUUAACCCUGAGCGUGCUUUCGAUACGGGUUGACUUGAGGAAGGUAGGGGAGAAUGGAAUUCCUGGUGGAGCGGUGGAAUGCGCAGAUAUCAGGAGGAACACCAGUGGCGAAGGCGGUUCUCUGGGCCUUUCCUGACGCUGAGGAGCGAAAGCGUGGGGAGCGAACAGGCUUAGAUACCCUGGUAGUCCACGCUGUAAACGGUGGGUACUAGGUGUGGGGUCCAUUCCACGGGUUCCGUGCCGUAGCUAACGCUUUAAGUACCCCGCCUGGGGAGUACGGCCGCAAGGCUAAAACUCAAAGGAAUUGACGGGGCCCCGCACAAGCGGCGGAGCAUGCGGAUUAAUUCGAUGCAACGCGUAGAACCUUACCUGGGUUUGACAUGGAUCGGGAGUGCUCAGAGAUGGGUGUGCCUCUUUUGGGGUCGGUUCACAGGUGGUGCAUGCCUGUCGUCAGCUCGUGUCGUGAGAUGUUGGGUUAAGUCCCGCAACGAGCGCAACCCUUGUUCACUGUUGCCAGCACGUUAUGGUGGGGACUCAGUGGAGACCGCCGGGGUCAACUCGGAGGAAGGUGGGGAUGACGUCAAGUCCUCAUGCCCCUUAUGUCCAGGGCUUCACGCAUGCUACAAUGGCUGGUACAGAGAGUGGCGAGCCUGUGAGGGUGAGCGAAUCUCGGAAAGCCGGUCUCAGUUCGGAUUGGGGUCUGCAACUCGACCUCACGAAGUCGGAGUCGCUAGUAAUCGCAGAUCAGCAACGCUGCGGUGAAUACGUUCCCGGG
Molecule: ribosomal RNA, 1343 nt
Filed under: uncultured bacterium
Lineage: Bacteria
Description: 16S ribosomal RNA
Rfam family: Bacterial small subunit ribosomal RNA
Source: RNAcentral